CAGCCGCCACGGGAAUACGUAGGGUGCAAGCGUUAAUCGGAAUUACUGGGCGUAAAGCGUGCGCAGGCGGUUAUAUAAGACAGAUGUGAAAUCACCGGGCUCAACCUGGGAACUGCAUUUGUGACUGUAUAGCUAGAGUACGGCAGAGGGGGAUGGAAUUCCGCGUGUAGCAGUGAAAUGCGUAGAGAUCGGAAGGAACAUCUGUGGCGAAGGCAAUCCCCUGGGCCUGUACUGACGCUCAUGCACGAAAGCGUGGGGAGCAAACAGGAUUAGAUACCCGGGUAGUCCCUGUCUCUUAUAC
RNAcentral lists this ribosomal RNA (301 nucleotides) under uncultured bacterium. Its description in RNAcentral is "partial 16S ribosomal RNA". It matches the Rfam family "Bacterial small subunit ribosomal RNA", at positions 509 to 807 of the family's 1533-position model. The record is from RNAcentral.